RNAcentral lists this transfer RNA (89 nucleotides) under bacterium. RNAcentral describes it as "tRNA-Ser". It matches the Rfam family "tRNA". From Rfam's summary of the family: Transfer RNA (tRNA) molecules are approximately 80 nucleotides in length. RNAcentral also lists the same sequence under 1 other name. The record is from RNAcentral.
GGAGAGGUGCGAGAGCGGUUGAAUCGGGCGGUCUCGAAAACCGUUGUGCCCUUCGGGUACCGUGGGUUCGAAUCCCACCCUCUCCGCCA